AACGAGCCUGUCUACACUCCUAGGUACCCACGAUCCCACGACAAUCCAUUCGUUUUGGUGUCAUCAGAAUCCCCCAUCAAGGAGGAGCGAACCCAUGGCGGGCAUCUUGGUGCGCUGGCCGCAGGGAGCAACUUGUGCGAUCUGUUGCCACGAGCGCCCCUUCCAUUUUCUACCGGGGGCAGCCAUUGGUCUUGGCGCUGAGGUCUUGGCGGCGUUUCCAUGCCGCCGGCCGAGCUCAACCCUGCCGCGGGUGGAGACCCUGAUGUCAUCCGGCCUACUUAUCCUCGUCGCGUGGUUUUGAUCUGGCUGGAGCGCGCUGCCCAACCUGCUUGUACCGGUGAAGGUCAGCGAUGGCAUGGCGCCGAUGACGACCACAAGAAUGUCACCAUCUUCUUCGGCCCGCAGAGCGAUACCGCCGAGGGCCUUUGCCAAGGCUAUGGCGAAGGACGGGAAGGGCUGAUACGGGAAAGCAGUAUUCAGAGUUGUGGAUCUGGUAACUGUCAUCGAUUUACAUUCGUUCCCAGCCAUGAGUUAGUUGUGUGUGUUUGGAAUUUUGAGAGAUUCUUGGAACACAUGUAGCAAAUAGCAACGUGAGCUCUUGCCCUUUUGAUUCGUGUAUUACUCAAUUGAUCAUGUGAGCUCUCGUCAUUCUUAUUCAUGGAUUUCUGAAUUACCCACUUGAGCUUGCUGUUUUGAUUCGUUGAUUGCUAAACUACACACACGAGCUGUCAUUGUUAUGGUUCAUAGAUUGCUUAAUUGCCCCUUUCCUGGUGUGUGCCUUAAUUCACUGAUACUUCUACCUUCCUUUUGUUGUAAAACGUGUGUUCCAAAUGUAUUUAAGACACAUUAUAAGCGUAUGGUAUGGGGAGUGCCUAUGUGCUUUUAACCCACCAGUGACCAUUACAAUUGGUAACGCGUGAAUUGGAAUUGUCUGCAUCAAAUUUUUAUUGUCAUAAGAGUUUCUUUAUUUAUAUGAGAAAUCUACUUAACAGUGCAAUGUUGUCAAAUGGAUUGUUGUUUUCUGUAAAAGAAUGUACCCAUCUACGAGAAUGUAUUUAGAUUCUUGUAUCAAUAACUUGUGCAGAUAAUUGUGUUCAAUAACCACGAAUACAGUUCACUAAGAAGUAUGAAAUUUGCGGAGUUAAAAUUUGCUCACUACCACUACACUGUCUUAUGAAGUAGUGUCCUUUUUGUACUGAAGCGGGGCAAGGACAAGGAGGUUUGACUUAAAAAAUGUUAUAAUUUCCUUGAGAAUAGGCAAUACGAGCUUGAAUAUGAGAUGUGCGUCUGUUGAAGAAGGUGGAAAUGAAAAAAUAAAUAAAUUUAUGUAUUCUAUCUUAUAUCAUGUCUGUAUGGACUUAUGCAGCAAUAUCUAGCAGUGGAUCAGACGGUUCUUAAAUAUAUAACCUUGCUAAAUAUGAAACUAUUUUAAAGGGGAGAUUUAUCUGAUCAAACAAGAUUUUGGGACUGAUUGUUCCUUUGUGGCUAUCAAGCAUUUGUAGUCGCCCUAAAUCGUGGUGGACCACUUAUACAACGUUGUGGUGGUCGGUGGGUACAAGGUUCUGGGUGGCGAUUGUGCUCUUAGAACACAGCUUCAACACCACCUGCAUCACCAAGCUCUUUCCCAUGCGGCUCCUCACUGUUGUGGUGCAGUUUAAUGUGAGGUUGGACAAGGCGUUCAAGGGGAUCAAGAAGAUUGGCAUGCUUGAAUGGGGCUCGCAGGCUGCUUUACUCUCUCUGUGGUAUCAUGUCGUCGAAAUUACAGCGGAUUUGGGGUGGUUUCCCCUGUCGGAAUAGCUGAGCAGGAGCUCUGAUUCUGGGUGCCUGGUCAAAUUCCAUAUUGUUCUCUGUCCGGAUGAAGGAAGGAUUCAAGAUUUUCGAUGCCUGGAUUACAAGAACGGUAAGAUUUGUUCUGUUUCCCCCGUUGCUAGCACCAUUCAUGUUAACUGCAGAUAUCCGAUGGUAGAAGUAGAGAUAGACCUAAUGUUAUUCAAACAAUAUGGCACUUUAUUUGCUUUAGACAGAAGAAUUGGUGGUGUACCUCGUUCUACUAAACCGAACAACUAAAAUCACCUGAAUUUCAACUCUUCUGGGGCAUCUUUGAUGGUAUUUAACAAGGAAACGCGACUAGGAGAAAAUCAUUUCUGCAAAAGGAAAUUUGAACCGACAAUUAACCAUCUAAUUCAUCCAUUGUAAUUACGGGGCGGCUCCACCACACAGAGGAGCAAAUCAAACUUGAAAUGAGGGUCGUAGUCUGUUAGCUUAUCUCUAUUGCCACAAUGAUAAAAUUAGAACAUAAAUUCUUUAUGUUUUUUAACUGUAUAUGUACAUGCAUUUCACAUUACAUAAAACCUUCGAGUAAAAGCAAUCAACUAAUUUUAUAGGCCACGUGCAUUAGAACUAAAAAGUUUGGUAGCACUGCAAUGUUAUGUAUUUUUAAAAAACCUUCGAGUAAAAGUAAUCUGUACAUUUUAUAGGCCAUGUGGAUUACAAUUACUGUUAAGAAAAUAUUUUAUACUAACCUACUGAAUGGAUAGGCCAUUUCGAUUGUUACUACUAGCACUGAAUAAACAUUGAUCUACUGUAUGGUAUUAGAACUGCAAUCCCUAAAGGGUCGUUUUUAUUGGUUUUCUCUUCUAUAUUAUAUGUGCAGCUAAAUAUAUUCCAAGUUAAGCAAACCUUGUACAGUAAGCAAGAUUAUGCAAAUCCAAUAGGGCUUGAGAAGUACCAACACCUACAACCUAACAUGUUAAAUGCCCUCAAUACAUGAAGAAUACUAACAACAUUUGUAUUGUGUGCAACCAGUUGAAUUUACAUUCCUUCAAGUAUCGAGACAUGGAUUGUGGAUAUUUGAAUAAAGUUAGCUAGAAUGUUUAUCUUAGUGGUCACAAAAAGCACCAGAAUAUAUCUUAGAAUGACGUGAACAAAUGGUUACAUAAUAAAGGUUUUCUUUGUACCGAUAACUUUAUUUCGACAUGCUAGCAGCUUGUCAAUGUGUAACUUGCAAGUAGUGGUGGAAUUGCGGAUAUAUCAUAGGCAUGGCUUGGGUAAUAUAGAAUUGAAGUGGCAUGACAAGAUGCUUGAUGAAGGCAUGCAACUCAGGCGUGGGUGUCAGUGCCAACUGAAUUUAUUGACCAAGUGCAACGGGACCAUACGCGUUGAGCAUGUUGGCAGAGCUGUGAAAUGUGCAUUAUAUGCUAAAAAGCAUAUGAUUUAUAAGUGUUUCCUUGUGUUCUACUCCAAGUCAAGGCCCAGCUCCAUGUUUGUCCAUGUUCUCAUGAGGAUACCAACGUAGAUAUUUCCUCGUCACAAUAUGUAUAUUAGCUAUAGCUAUUUUUUUAUAAGCCAUUGUUCAUUUGUUCA
Molecule: long non-coding RNA, 3363 nt
Organism: Lolium perenne
Lineage: Eukaryota; Viridiplantae; Streptophyta; Magnoliopsida; Poales; Poaceae
Source: RefSeq, a predicted model, not a curated record